RNAcentral lists this transfer RNA (72 nucleotides) under Urocitellus parryii (Arctic ground squirrel). Its description in RNAcentral is "Spermophilus parryii (Arctic ground squirrel) tRNA". It matches the Rfam family "tRNA". Rfam says of the family: Transfer RNA (tRNA) molecules are approximately 80 nucleotides in length. Their secondary structure includes four short double-helical elements and three loops (D, anti-codon, and T loops). Further hydrogen bonds mediate the characteristic L-shaped molecular structure. tRNAs have two regions of fundamental functional importance: the anti-codon, which is responsible for specific mRNA codon recognition, and the 3' end, to which the tRNAs corresponding amino acid is attached (by aminoacyl-tRNA synthetases). tRNAs cope with the degeneracy of the genetic code in two manners: having more than one tRNA (with a specific anti-codon) for a particular amino acid; and 'wobble' base-pairing, i.e. permitting non-standard base-pairing at the 3rd anti-codon position. Lineage: Eukaryota; Metazoa; Chordata; Mammalia; Rodentia; Sciuridae. RNAcentral also lists the same sequence under 2 other names. The record is from Rfam by way of RNAcentral.
GGAAAUGUAGCUCAGUGGUAGAAUGCCUGCCUAGCAUGUGGGAAGCUCUGGGUUCAAUUCCCAGUCAUGCCA